Molecule: ribosomal RNA, 253 nt
Filed under: uncultured bacterium
Lineage: Bacteria
Description: partial 16S ribosomal RNA
Rfam family: Bacterial small subunit ribosomal RNA
Source: RNAcentral
UACGAAGGGGACUAGCGUUGUUCGGAAUCACUGGGCGUAAAGCGCACGUAGGCGGAUGUGUCAGUCAGGGGUGAAAUCCCGGGGCUCAACCUCGGAACUGCCUUUGAUACAGCACGUCUCGAGUCCGGAAGAGGUGGGUGGAAUUCCUAGUGUAGAGGUGAAAUUCGUAGAUAUUAGGAAGAACACCGGUGGCGAAGGCGGCCCACUGGUCCGGUACUGACGCUGAGACGCGAAAGCGUGGGGAGCGAACAGG